Molecule: ribosomal RNA, 387 nt
Filed under: Bacillus sp. (in: firmicutes)
Lineage: Bacteria; Bacillati; Bacillota; Bacilli; Caryophanales; Bacillaceae
Description: bacterial SSU rRNA
Rfam family: Bacterial small subunit ribosomal RNA
Source: RNAcentral
UUGCUCCCUUUUCUCACGGCGGACGGGUGAGUAACACGUGGGCAACCUGCCCUGCAGACUGGGAUAACUCCGGGAAACCGGAGCUAAUACCGGGUAAUACUUAGCAUCGCAUGAUGCAACGUUGAAAGUUGGCCUUUGGCUAACACUGUAGGAUGGGCCCGCGGCGCAUUAGCUAGUUGGUAAGGUAACGGCUUACCAAGGCCACGAUGCGUAACCGACCUGAGAGGGUGAUCGGCCACCCUGGGACUGAGACACGGCCCAUACUCCUACGGGAGGCAGCAGUAGGGAAUCUUCCGCAAUGGACGAAAGUCUGACGGAGCAACGCCGCGUGAGUGACGAAGGCCUUCGGGUCGUAAAGCUCUGUUGUUAGGGAAGAACUAGUACCGU